This 449-nucleotide ribosomal RNA is filed under the name uncultured bacterium. Its description in RNAcentral is "partial 16S ribosomal RNA". It matches the Rfam family "Bacterial small subunit ribosomal RNA", at positions 338 to 795 of the family's 1533-position model. The record is from RNAcentral.
CCUACGGGGGGCUGCAGUGGGGAAUUUUGGACAAUGGGCGAAAGCAUGAUCCAGCCAUGCCGCGUGCAGGAUGAAGGCCUUCGGGUUGUAAACUGCUUUUGUACGGAACGAAAAAGUCUUCUCUAAUACAGGGGGCGAAUGACGGUACCGUAAGAAUAAGCACCGGCUAACUACGUGCCAGCAGCCGCGGUAAUACGUAGGGUGCGAGCGUGAAUCGGAAUUACUGGGCGUAAAGCGUAAGCAGGCGGUGAAAUCCCCGGGCUCAACCUGGGAACUGCAUUAGUGACUGUAUAGCUAGAGUGCGGCAGAGGGGGAUGGAAUUCCGCGUGUAGCAGUGAAAUGCGUAGAUAUGCGGAGGAACACCGAUGGCGAAGGCAAUCCCCUGGGCCUGCACUGACGCUCAUGCACGAAAGCGUGGGGAGCAAACAGGAUUAGAUACCCUUGUAGUC